AAAUUGUGAAAUAGGAUAGUAAGCGCAUGUUGUUUAAAUUGAAUUGCUAAAUAUGAUGAUAGUAUUGCUUAGAUUACAUGCUUCCUAAAUAUCAUCACUCAUCUUAGAUUGUAAAACAGUUUGUUGACAUCUAAUUUUGUGGACUUCUCCCAUUAAUGAGUGGUUAAUAGAGGACACUCCUCUUUCUUUUGCAUAGGAUUUACUUUGAUUAUGACAAUAUGUAGUUGAAAAACUAACCCUAAUGUAAGU
This 249-nucleotide unclassified non-coding RNA is filed under the name Hevea brasiliensis (rubber tree). Lineage: Eukaryota; Viridiplantae; Streptophyta; Magnoliopsida; Malpighiales; Euphorbiaceae. The record is from RNAcentral.